This 81-nucleotide transfer RNA is filed under the name Kwoniella pini CBS 10737. Its description in RNAcentral is "tRNA-Ser (GCT) (tRNA-Ser-GCT-1-1)". It matches the Rfam family "tRNA". From Rfam's summary of the family: Transfer RNA (tRNA) molecules are approximately 80 nucleotides in length. The record is from RNAcentral. Lineage: Eukaryota; Fungi; Basidiomycota; Tremellomycetes; Tremellales; Cryptococcaceae.
GGCGCUUUGGCCGAGCGGUUAAGGCGACACUUUGCUAAGGUGUUAUCAUUUGAUGCGUGAGUUCGAACCUCACAGGCGUCG